Long non-coding RNA from Carlito syrichta (Philippine tarsier), 339 nucleotides. RefSeq lists it as uncharacterized. The transcript is spliced from 3 exons. The record is from RefSeq and is a predicted model, not a curated record. NCBI's taxonomy places the organism in Eukaryota, Metazoa, Chordata, Mammalia, Primates, Tarsiidae.
UCCUCGACACUGUCAACGUCUUAGUCUCAAGCCAACUUUCUGAGCUGUCUUUCAACUUUCCUCUGUCUGAUAAUCCAAGGAUGUUAUGGCUGAGGAUGGCCAGGUGGUACCGUGGGCCUGUACUUCCCAACUCUUUCCAUGUUGCAGCACUUCCAUAAAGUGAGGACACUGAUGUGACACACCAGGCUACUGCAUGGAAAUGACAUGUCCACGAAACUGUCAAGAGGAACCACUGGAAUACUAGAAAUAAAAUGUAUAACCCUCAGAGCAGCACAGGGGUAAAGUAGAAAAGAGAACACUGAGUCAGAAAGCAGGAAAGGGGAGAAGGAAAUAAAAUGU